RNAcentral lists this small nucleolar RNA (223 nucleotides) under Rhinopithecus roxellana (golden snub-nosed monkey). RNAcentral describes it as "Small nucleolar RNA U3 (ENSRROG00000007874.1)". It matches the Rfam family "Small nucleolar RNA U3". Rfam says of the family: Small nucleolar RNAs (snoRNAs) are involved in the processing and modification of rRNA in the nucleolus. There are two main classes of snoRNAs: the box C/D class, and the box H/ACA class. The record is from Rfam by way of RNAcentral. Lineage: Eukaryota; Metazoa; Chordata; Mammalia; Primates; Cercopithecidae.
AAGAUUAUACUUUCAAGUGAUUGUUUUUUGUAGUUUGUUACUAGAGAAUGUUUGGGUGAAUGUGGGGAGCAGCGAUUAAACCACGAGAAAGCAAACGUAGAAUUGUUUUUCUGAGCGUGAAGCCGGCAUUGCGUGUUGCUUCAGUGCAACAGCCAUCUGCCGUUGAAGGUCAUUUUUCUCUCCGUUUUGGAGAGUAAGAGGGGAAAAACAGGAUCUGAGUGGU